RNAcentral lists this ribosomal RNA (305 nucleotides) under uncultured bacterium. Its description in RNAcentral is "bacterial SSU rRNA". It matches the Rfam family "Bacterial small subunit ribosomal RNA", at positions 333 to 655 of the family's 1533-position model. The record is from RNAcentral.
UUACGCCUACGGGAGGCAGCAGUGGGGAAUAUUGCACAAUGGGGGGAACCCUGAUGCAGCGACGCCGCGUGAAGGAUGAAGUAUUUCGGUACGUAAACUUCUAUCAGCAGGGAAGAAAAUGACGGUACCUGACUAAGAAGCCACGGCUAACUACGUGCCAGCAGCCGCGGUAAUACGUAGGGGGCAAGCGUUAUCCGGAUUUACUGGGUGUAAAGGGAGCGUAGACGGGCCAGCAAGUCUGAUGUGAACACCCGGGGCCCAACCCCGGGAGUGCAUUGGAAACUGCGGGACUGGAGUGCCGGAGG